UACGUAGAGUGCAAGCGUUGUCCGGGAAUUAUUGGGCGUAAAGGGUACGCAGGCGGAUAGUAAAGUCAAGCGUGAAAGGUGUCGGCUUAACCGACAGACUGCGUUUGAAACUGAUUAUCUUGAGUGUAACACGAGGAGAGUGGAAUUCCUAGUAGUAGUGGUGAAAUACGUAGAUAUUAGGAAGAACACCAGUGGCGAAGGGCGACUUCUCUGGGGUUAACACGUGACGCUGAGGUACGAAAGCUGGGGGAGCAAACGGGAUUAGAUACCCCCGUAGU
Molecule: ribosomal RNA, 278 nt
Filed under: uncultured bacterium
Lineage: Bacteria
Description: partial 16S ribosomal RNA
Rfam family: Bacterial small subunit ribosomal RNA
Source: RNAcentral